This is a long non-coding RNA of Bombus terrestris (buff-tailed bumblebee), 3510 nucleotides long. RefSeq lists it as uncharacterized. The transcript is spliced from 2 exons. The record is from RefSeq and is a predicted model, not a curated record. NCBI's taxonomy places the organism in Eukaryota, Metazoa, Arthropoda, Insecta, Hymenoptera, Apidae.
UGCCCUUUUUUACAGCUUUUAGUAAGUCGUUGAGUGGUUGAAGUAUCUUCGCGCCUCUCGAUAUGAGGCCGUCGAAGAAUUAAUCAUAUCGAAGUAGUUAAGUAAUUGUUUGACAGUCGCGGGCUUCGGAACGUUUACUAAAGCUUCAACGCAUUCGGCUAGUGGUUUUAUUCCGUCGGCGUUUACCAUAUAUCCGAGAAAUGUGAUUGCGUAGUUGUUUAAGCGGUUAAAUAAAGUUCGCAAGUGUUUGUAACGUUGCUUCUCGUUUUCCGAGGCUAUUAGAAAAUCUAGAAAAUUAGAAAAUUUGGUGAUUUCGUGAUUUCAUCAACGAAUCGCUGACAAGUUUGCGCGGCGUUCCGAAAUCCAAAUAUCGUAUUGACUGCUUCGAAAAAUCCAAAUGGAAUCGUGAUCGUAGUUUUUUCAACGUCUUCGGGCGCGAUCGGAAUUUGAUGGUAAGCGCACGAGGUCGGUCUUAAAAAAGAUACGCUUACCGUACAGAUGUUGCGCAAAGUCUUCGAUAUGCGGCGGCGAGUAAUUGUCGGGUACGGUGCGGCCGUUCAACGCACGGUAGUCGCCACAAUGCGACAUGCAGCGGUGAUGCCCAUGGACUCUUCGAUAGCCGCAUCACUCCUUGCUCCAUCAUCAUCCCAAAUCCCGUCUUCACCUGCUUGAAUCGGUCGGGGGCAAGGCGUCGAGGUUUGCUAAAGACGAGAGGGCCGAGUGUGGUUUUCAUGUGGUGUACCAUACCGUGUCGGGUUUUCUCUCGUCCGAAAACGGAUGGACGGGUUAGGUUCGGAAAUUCGGCGCGGAGUCGAUGAUACGUCGAUUCGCCGAUGAUUGUCUUGAUCGGUACAGCCUCAGUCGCGGGUCCGCGUAGUUUAUUGAGCGGGUACACGCAUAAGUCAGCGCCAGUAUCCACGAAGAAGGAGAUCCUGAAAUUCCUGUCUGUGAUGAAAAUGCGGCGGGAUCCUGAACCGUCGUCGCACGCCGCGUUUACAGACGGCUGAUGUCGUUUCCCCCCGUUCCAGCUGCAAGGAGUUCGGCACUUUCUUGCGCGGUCUCGAAAGAUUUCAUGGUAGUAGCAUAGACCGGUCUGCAGUGUCCUUUCUCAGGAAUAUGAACGGCGGCGUCUCGAGUGUGAUCGUGGACGGCGCGCGUUAAUUUGCGCCUCAAAUCGGCAUAGUCUGUCACACAUCAUGUCUGCUAUUUGUCCGGGUUCCGGACGUAUAUCGUGGAUGGUGUCGGCCACCUCGAUCAGGGCGUUCGCCUCUGUUAUCCUCAACGCGGUUAGGACAUAUUGCAUAUUCGUUGGAAGGUAAUCCUUUCAGAUCGCUAGUACGAAGUCGUCUGAGACCGACGAGGAAGCGAGCUUCUUCAAGUCCCUGCAGAAUUGGGACGGCAUCCUAUAUAGAUUUGCGAAUCUUGUAAUAAAUUCCAUGUUGGCACUCGAAUGUAACACGUUCACCUUUUUUCACUUUUAGUCACGUCGGGGUCACCGAUUUGGAAUGGUAUUAAACGUGUUGGAUUGUUUUAUAAAAAAAGAGUGAUAAAAUCGUAAUAGUCAGUGUAUAUUAAAAUGUAUUCAAGUACAGGUAUAGAAAUAGUAUAUGCCGGUCGUAAUCAUCGCUCGUCCAAAACUCGUAUAUGGAUAACAACUGAAGUCUUCAACUCGCUAACUAUUCAACUAUUCGACUGUCUUAGAGAGCACGUUCGUAUAUUUAUAUCGACAGAUGUUAUAAAAAGUUCAAAGUUAGAGCAUAUAUGUAACUCCGGUUAAAGAUUACAAAUAACGGUAAUAAUGUUUUGUCCGGAGUUCGUUUGCCUUUAGAUCUUUAAACCAAAACAACGUUGAUAUUCCAAGGCAUAAUAAUAUGAGUCACUCUCCAUUCGAAUUUUCUGUUUACUCAUGUGCUACUACAAAACUAAUAAUCAGUUGAAUCAAGUACCUGUAUACUCUUCUCUAGAGAAUUAAAAACUGCAUUGAAUGGCGUCUAAAAAAUGUAUUGUACUAUUUAGAAAAACAAAGACAAAAUCAUCGGCAGAUGUCCCUCUCGAAAUAGGACAAGUUCUAUCUGAAAAACUUUUUUCGAAUAAUGUAUAGUUUGUAUUUUACGAUAUUAUCUAUCGUAAUUCCAUGUUACUUUUAUACCAUAUUAUUUUAUAUUUAGAUAUUCGGUAUAAAUUUGGUAAAAUUUAAAAUGUGAAAUAUAAAGCUAUUAAGAUCUGGAUUUCGAUUAAUGUAAAAAUCUUUCUCGAUUGUUAUCGAGUAGUUAAUUGUUUGUGAGAAGCAAAUUUAAACAGACUCAUGAAGCUUUCCUAACGACGAUUCACGUAAUUUAUUGCUUGCUGUUUGAUAUGUUAAUUUUUAUCAUUUGAACAGAUAUGUAGCCACUUUCAUGAAACGCUGUUUGUUCGGAAAGGUUUCUGGGUAGAAAAUGAAGUAAGAUAAUGGAAGGUCAUUCGAAAUGCGAUGUAUGCGUUUCAAACUCGUGAUAAGUUGAGCGUCAUUGUUCAAAGAAAUCAAGAUGUGAAAAAUAGGUUAUAGAAAGAAACAUAUUGAGUUUACAGAAAAAUAUUUCAAUUGAUUAUGCUUUAAUAAAAAUUAUAAAAUUCUGGUAUAAGGACGUAGGUACAGCUGCGGAGUGGGGAUAAUGACUUAAAUAAUAAUGCUGCUUAAUGACUUAAAUAAUAAAAUAAUAAUAAUAAAUAAUAAUAAUAAUAACUGCUAGGACCUACAUUAUCUCAGCAGUAGUUUUUUAAAUUAACGUAGAACGAUGAUUUUUUGUUAAAUCUAAGGUAGCUUAACGAAAUAUUAACAAAUAUCAUAAUCAAUUCUAUAAAAAAAUUAUAUUCAAGCCCAAAAUUUUCAAUUUUUUGAUUUCAUAUUUUGUAUAUUAUGGUGAUCUGAGUCUGUUUCUGAAUUGUAGCAAAUUGCUCUUCGUCUUCUAUUUUGUAACAAUAUUUUGAGGUUCAAGAUUCUAAAAAAUUAUAAGGAUACGGAUCGACAUGUUAAAAUAUCUAAUAAUGGCAUAUUUAUUUUAACGGAAAGCAACAAUUGAUAUCUGACACUGGCAUAUCAAAAACAAAGACUACAUAUUCUGCCUGUAUAUUGUUAACACUGUUGUAAACAUUGCGAGGACAAAAAAAGUGUAAAGCAAGACAAAUGAAUAUAAUAUAACAUCCGCGAAAGCCACUAUAGUGGCGCAUCGUACCUAAGAGGUUAAAAGACAGAGGAUAAAUAUUUCUUUGUGAUUUAAAAUUAUGACAGCUGAUUUUUUACAUAGAUAUGUAAAUAUAUAUGUUUAUUUAUAUUAAAAAUAUAAUUUCUGGAUAUAUUACAAUAUAUUAGAUACGGCAUUUAUUGUAUUACAAAAUUAUAAAAUCAAGGUGUGUAAAAUAUUACUAAUACUUUGUUCUUUAUAUAUGAUAUGUGUGUAUAUACAUAUACAGGCUGUAUCACCUAAUAAUCACCACGAUUUUUCAGGCACUUACUAUAGUCUGACGAAGAAA